This 69-nucleotide transfer RNA is filed under the name Pleuronichthys japonicus. RNAcentral describes it as "tRNA-Arg". It matches the Rfam family "tRNA". From Rfam's summary of the family: Transfer RNA (tRNA) molecules are approximately 80 nucleotides in length. Their secondary structure includes four short double-helical elements and three loops (D, anti-codon, and T loops). Lineage: Eukaryota; Metazoa; Chordata; Actinopteri; Pleuronectiformes; Pleuronectidae. The record is from RNAcentral.
AAGUAGUUAGUUUAAGAAAAACAUUUGAUUUCGGCUCAAAAGCUUGUGGUUUGAUUCCACAACCACUUA